UUUUUUUAAAUCAUGAAAUAGGUGGUUUGUUAAAGAACGUCGUCUCUUAAGGUAAAUCAAGAAGACACACUGGCAAAUCACAGGACUUCAACAGAUGCUAAAGGACUGCUGAGGUACACCAGACUGAACUCCACCAUGCCAGUUUGCAGUGCAGACUACAAAGUUUUGACACCCUAACUCUGUGUAUUUGGAUGUUGAUCAAGAUCUCAGACCAGACUUCCGCCUUACAAGGGAUUCAAUGAAUGGUUUGAUGAUGGUUCUGAAAAGAGAUCAAGAUCAUGGCUGGGGGUAUCCACUGGAGAUUUUGGUCUUUGUGUAUUGGCUUGCACAUGGAAUAUCAUACAGAGUUGCAGCCCGAGCAUUCUCUGUGCCAAAGUCAACAGUCUGCCGGGUUGUGCACCAAAUUGCACAAGCAAUAAAGGAAAAUGCACACAAAGUCAUCUGUUAUCCAAAACAGGAGGAGUUAGAGGACAUUGGGGAGGGAUUUGCACGUUUAGCCCGCCACAAAGCUUUUCACAAAGCUGUUGGUGCAGUGGACGGCUGUCUUAUUCGAAUUAAGCCCCCAAAUCAAAACAAAGACGACUACUUUAGUUAUAAGCAUUUCUACUCCAUUCACAUGCAAGCUAUUUGUGACUCCAGCGCACGAUUUCUGAACAUUUUCAUUGGGUUUCCUGGCUCUGUCCAUGACACUCGUGUUCUUAAAAA
Long non-coding RNA from Girardinichthys multiradiatus, 705 nucleotides. RefSeq lists it as uncharacterized. Lineage: Eukaryota; Metazoa; Chordata; Actinopteri; Cyprinodontiformes; Goodeidae. The transcript is spliced from 2 exons. The record is from RefSeq and is a predicted model, not a curated record.